UUCUUACUAGUUCAAAGGUAGAACAGAAUACUUUUAAUAUCUUAAUCUAAGUUUAAAUCUUAUGUAAGAUA
This is a non-coding RNA of Lophium mytilinum, 71 nucleotides long. The record is from the annotation of a GenBank genome assembly. Lineage: Eukaryota; Fungi; Ascomycota; Dothideomycetes; Mytilinidiales; Mytilinidiaceae.